RNAcentral lists this non-coding RNA (31 nucleotides) under Homo sapiens (human). The record is from RNAcentral. Lineage: Eukaryota; Metazoa; Chordata; Mammalia; Primates; Hominidae.
GAAAACGAGCUAAUUCCGUGCCGAUGGAGGU